UCCCUCUCUCUCUCUCCUCAUUAGAGCGAGCCACCACCGUCUACCACCACCCAGAAGCUGCCUCCAUGAACCUCCGACCGCCUACUCUCAAAACAGUACCACUCUUGUGCCGCCUCACACGCAACCCAUCUUCCUCCUUGUCUCGUGCUUCUCUGUUUCACGAGACCAAAUUGGUCUUGAAACCAAUUCCCCCAAUUGGAGUAAUAUAGUAUACUGUACCUAAUAUCCAAAAGUCAACCUUUGCUUCCUUUUAACCACCAAAUAAAAUGAUGCUGAGCUCGGGAGAUACGGUACAUUGAACAGGAAGUACAAACUACGGUUGAGGUACGAAGAAGAUCGUGGGAUGCCUUAGAGUGAGGAUGCAACCAUCAAAUUCACGAUCGAUGUUUAAUAAAGAUAACCAUGUCAUUAGUAAUGAAGGGAUAUAUUAAUUAAACUCUAAGUUUGAUUUCACGAUUUGAGUUAGAUUUUUAAAUUAACGUUAAACAUGUUAGAAAUAUUUAUUAAGGUUUACUUAGAUUUCAAUGAAAUUUUUUAAAGAAUUAAUCGAAGUGAAGUAUAGUUACUGUUACUCAACAGUAGUCAGUAAAUGUAAAAGGUUAUGUCGCCUUGUAUUUCCCACGAGGGAGAUACGGCAAGUGACGCUCCGACUAAAUUAGGGUUUCCGCUGCUAAUUAAAGAUAAUUAACCUAAUUAAUGGUGUUUGGAAGUCGGGGCG
Molecule: long non-coding RNA, 718 nt
Organism: Spinacia oleracea (spinach)
Lineage: Eukaryota; Viridiplantae; Streptophyta; Magnoliopsida; Caryophyllales; Amaranthaceae
Exons: 3
Source: RefSeq, a predicted model, not a curated record